UUGAGCACUUCCAAGGAGGGACAUCCAGAGCUUCUCUGGGCAACCUGUGCCAGGGCCUCAGCACCUUCACAGUAAAACCUGCAGCAUUUCCUAAUACAAAUCCCUUUUCUCCCGGUGUUGGUUUCGCAUUAGACUUCCCAGCUUAAAAGCUGUUUUGUAUGAAAUCAGCCAGUGAAAGUUCCACAUUUGCCAGAUGUUCAGCUGAGUAAAACCCUCAGUAAAGAUUUUUGGAAGGUCACUUCCUGGAGAACCAGCCUUUUCCCUGCCAUCCAAAUCGAGGUCUGGAUUUGCUGAAUCUUUUGAUCAAACACUAUCUGCAGUUUCUCUAAGUCAGUCCUGUGUAGGACAAGGAGCUGGACUUCAAAUGAACCUCGUGGAUCCCCCCCAGCUCAGGAUAUUCUGUGAGUGAUGCACAGAGGAAUGGAAGAACUGACCAGUCAGGGAGGCAGCGCCAGUAGAAGUUGCUCUCACUUAAUCCCUGCCAGUGAGGUUGACCAAAGCCAGAAUCACAGGAUCACAGCACCUUAGAAUGGUUUGAAUUGGAAAGAACCUUAAAGAUGACCUAGUUCCACCCCCCCUGCCAUGGCAGCUGGCAUUUAGUGGAGGAGUGUUAGCUCCAUCCCAGUACUCUGUCAGACACAGCUCUGACCAUCUGACUUAAAAGGACCUGGAAAACAGACUGGGAAUGCCUGGGAGGAAAUAGCUGUCCUGCAGAACCACAGAUGCCAAAGCAAAAUGUUAGCCCUACAUGUGACAAAACCUGC
Pyrgilauda ruficollis (rufous-necked snowfinch) is the source of this 764-nucleotide long non-coding RNA. RefSeq lists it as uncharacterized. The record is from RefSeq and is a predicted model, not a curated record. The transcript has 3 exons. Lineage: Eukaryota; Metazoa; Chordata; Aves; Passeriformes; Passeridae.